Non-coding RNA from Taeniopygia guttata (zebra finch), 1214 nucleotides. The record is from RefSeq and is a predicted model, not a curated record. NCBI's taxonomy places the organism in Eukaryota, Metazoa, Chordata, Aves, Passeriformes, Estrildidae.
GGGGGCUGCUGCCCAGCAUGGUGGGGAGGUGACAAACCUGCUGGCACCUCUUGGUGGGAAGGGGCUGCUGCCCAGCAUGGUGGGGAGGUGACAGGAGGUGACAAUCCUGCUGGCACCUUUUGGUGGGAAGGGGCUGCUGCCCAGCAUGGUGGGGAGGUGAUAGGAGGUGACAAACCUGCUAGUGCCUCGUGGUGGGAAGGGGUUGCUGCCCAGCAUGGUGAAGAGGUGACAGCAGGUGACAACCCUGCUGGCACCUCUUGGUGGGACAGGGCUGCUGCCCAGCAUGGUGAAGAGGUGACAGGAGGUGACAAUCCUGCUGGCACCUCUCGGUGGGAAUAGGCUGUUGCCCAGCAUGGUGAGGAGGUGACAACUCUGCUGGCACCUUUUGGUGGGACAGGGCUGCUGCCCAGCAUGGUGGGGAGGUGACAACCCUGCUGGCACCUCUUGGUGGGAAGGAUCCCCCAGAGCUCCCCAGAGCACAGCACUGGCUCAGACCACAGGGGACUGCAGGGAGAGGGGCUGGCACCCAAACACAGUGUGACACUGGCUUGAGGGGGUCCCAGGCCUGCAGGGACCCCGUGUGUCAGUGUCACUGUCUCAGGGGGUGACAACCCUGCCUGGAUCUUGGGGUGAGAGGAGAUUGGUGCCCAGCACGGCCCUGGCUCUGGGGAUCCAGCCGGGCUCCCCAGGCUGUCUCUGCCCCUGCGGCACAGCUCCUCACCACCCUCAUUACUUUCUCCACCUGCCUCUCUUCAAAGGGCCCUUCCCUGUGCCUGUCCCUGUCCCUGUCCCGGCUUUCCCCCGCCGUCCCCGGGGCCGGGCUGAGUCAGCCGUGGGGCCCGGGGGUGGCAGCAGGACGCGGGGGUGGCAGCAGGACGCGGGGCCGGCCCGGUGACUCUCGGCGUGCCUUGGGCCUGGGUCACAGGCACAGGGUGACUCGCCAGGCGCUUCUUGCUGAGGCGGCAGCAGUUAAUAGCAGGGCAAUUAUGAAGCCGAGGGAAUCAUCCCAGCCACUCCAGCUGGAGGGCAGCUGAGAGCCCCGGGGUGGCAGCCGUGCCCUGCCCACGCUGGGACCCGGCACUGCCCCAGGGCUGGGGUGGAACUGUCCCUGUCCUUGAGGAGGGAGCAGGACUGGCUCAGCCGGUGUCCAGUGCCCGUCUGGCCGUGGCAUGGGGGGUGGCACAAGGCUGGUGCUGAGCCAGGCUGUGCCCUGU